UAGCAAUCCUAUAUAAACUGA
RNAcentral lists this non-coding RNA (21 nucleotides) under Caenorhabditis elegans. Lineage: Eukaryota; Metazoa; Nematoda; Chromadorea; Rhabditida; Rhabditidae. The record is from RNAcentral.